GACGUAGGGGGCGAACGUUAUCCGGAAUCAUUGGGCGUAAAGGGUGCGUAGAUGGCAUGAUAAGUUAUUAGUGGGAAAUCGAGGCUCAACCUCGUGGAAGCUAGUAAUACUGUUUUGCUUGAGUACAGAAGAGGUUAACGGAACUCCAUGUGGAGCGGUAAAAUGCGUAGAUAUAUGGAAGAACACCAAUAACGGCGAAGGCAGUUAACUAUUCUGUUACUGACAUUGAGGCACGAAAGCGUGGGGAGCAAAACGG
Molecule: ribosomal RNA, 256 nt
Filed under: uncultured bacterium
Lineage: Bacteria
Description: partial 16S ribosomal RNA
Rfam family: Bacterial small subunit ribosomal RNA
Source: RNAcentral